RNAcentral lists this long non-coding RNA (209 nucleotides) under Lathyrus oleraceus (garden pea). Its description in RNAcentral is "Pisum sativum (pea) long non-coding RNA (PSAT_LNC038450)". The record is from RNAcentral. Lineage: Eukaryota; Viridiplantae; Streptophyta; Magnoliopsida; Fabales; Fabaceae.
UUACUAAACCCCAAACAAUUGCUAGUGGUGAUAUUAGCCACCACAUCAUCGAAUUAAUUUUUACCGUUAUGUCUUGAGUAACAUGGGAUUCAUUUAAUAUUUUCAACAAGGACUCUCUAUGGGCUUCAGAGCUUAACAAUAGAGAUAGUAUGGAUAUUUUGGAUGGUGUCUGGCUUAAUUGGUCUACCACUUUGUAGUCGCUCUUCUUG